RNAcentral lists this unclassified non-coding RNA (341 nucleotides) under soil metagenome. RNAcentral's name for it is "partial contains 5.8S ribosomal RNA, internal transcribed spacer 2, and large subunit ribosomal RNA". The stretch from base 1 to 120 matches the Rfam family "5.8S ribosomal RNA", at positions 35 to 154 of the family's 154-position model. The record is from RNAcentral.
GAUGAAGAACGUAGCGAAAUGCGAUAAGUAAUGUGAAUUGCAGAAUUCAGUGAAUCAUCGAAUCUUUGAACGCACAUUGCGCCCGCCAGCACUCUGGCGGGCAUGCCUGUUCGAGCGUCAUUUCAACCAUCAAGCCCCCAGGGCUUGUGCUGGGGCCCUGCGGCUGCCCGCAGGCCCUGAAAACCAGUGGCGGGCUCGCUAGUCACACCGAGCGCAGUAGCACAUCUCGCUCAGGGCGUGCGGCGGGCUCCUGCCGUGAAACCCCCCACUGUAACCCCAAAGGUUGACCUCGGAUCAGGUAGGAAUACCCGCUGAACUUAAGCAUAUCAAUAAGCGGAGGA